Aplysia californica (California sea hare) is the source of this 141-nucleotide non-coding RNA. The record is from Rfam. Lineage: Eukaryota; Metazoa; Mollusca; Gastropoda; Aplysiida; Aplysiidae.
AGCUUUGCGCAGUGGCGGUACCAUAGCCAAUGAGGUUUUACCGAGGCGUGGUUAUUGCUAGUUGAAAACUACUCCCAAUACCCCGCACGGGCUGGCCUUCACAGGUUAGCUUAGUGCAAUUUUUUACGGCUCUUACGGGAG